UAAUACGUAGGUGGCGAGCGUUGUCCGGAUUUACUGGGCGUAAAGAGGGCGUAGGCGGUUCUUCAAGUCAGAUGUAAAAUCUCCCGGCUUAACUGGGAGGGGUCAUUUGAUACUGUUGGGCUAGAGGGCAGCAGGGGGAGGUGGAAUUCCCGGUGUAGUGGUGAAAUGCGUAGAUAUCGGGAGGAACACCAGUGGCGAAGGCGGCCUCCUGGGCUGUUGCUGACGCUGAGGCCCAAAAGCGUGGGGAGCAAACAGGAUUAGAUACCCUGGUAGUCCACGCCGUAAACUAUGGACACUAGGUAUGGGGAGUAUCGACCCUCUCUGUGCCGAAGCUAACGCUUUAAGUGUCCCGCCUGGGGGGUACGGUCGCAAGGCUG
This 377-nucleotide ribosomal RNA is filed under the name uncultured Chloroflexota bacterium. Its description in RNAcentral is "bacterial SSU rRNA". It matches the Rfam family "Bacterial small subunit ribosomal RNA", at positions 521 to 896 of the family's 1533-position model. Lineage: Bacteria; Bacillati; Chloroflexota. The record is from RNAcentral.